UGGGGAAUAUUGGACAAUGGGCGAAAGCCUGAUCCAGCCAUGCCGCGUGUGUGAAGAAGGUCUUCGGAUUGUAAAGCACUUUAAGUUGGGAGGAAGGGCUGCAAGUUAAUACCUUGUAGUUUUGACGUUACCAACAGAAUAAGCACCGGCUAACUUCGUGCCAGCAGCCGCGGUAAUACGAAGGGUGCAAGCGUUAAUCGGAAUUACUGGGCGUAAAGCGCGCGUAGGUAGUUUGGUAAGAUGGAUGUGAAAUCCCCGGGCUCAACCUGGGAACUGCAUCCAUAACUGCCUGACUAGAGUACGGUAGAGGGUGGUGGAAUUUCCUGUGUAGCGGUGAAAUGCGUAGAUAUAGGAAGGAACACCAGUGGCGAAGGCGACCACCUGGACUGAUACUGACACUGAGGUGCGAAAGCGUGGGGAGCAAACA
RNAcentral lists this ribosomal RNA (427 nucleotides) under uncultured bacterium. RNAcentral describes it as "bacterial SSU rRNA". It matches the Rfam family "Bacterial small subunit ribosomal RNA", at positions 355 to 774 of the family's 1533-position model. The record is from RNAcentral.